CUGCUCCUGAUCCAGACGGACACAUUGUCUCCUCUGCUGCGGUGAGAGGAUUCCAUAUGGAGGGUUUAUGUUGAACCUGCGGUCUUUCUGGCUGCAGGGCGGUAGUCUCGGGCACCAUGUGCACCACCAUCAUGGUUCUCUCCACUCUGGCUCUGGUACUGCGCCGACAUUUCAACAGCCGAGACAACAGGACCUUUCCUGAGGACUCGGGGGGGAAUAAGGCACCGAGUGUGCAGAGCAGCAAGGACUGAGAGGGAGUGAGGCUCAGCGUGUUAGCAGGCCCCCACAUCAGGAAAAACCACGAAUCCUCAGCCUCCAGCAGGGAGAUUGUUCUCAAUAGGUACGUGUUCAUUAUUCUGACCAAGCCUGUUCCCACCACGCCGGUUUCCUCUGUAGAAUUCAGCAGCUGGAACAUUUGUGCAGUAAAAAGGUAACUCUGCAUUUUAAAGAUGGGUUUUGUCAGCUUUUAAUAAUGGGACCACAGUGUGACCACUACAUCUACACUGAUACCCUAAACCCCGCUGCAGGAACUGAGAGUAUCAGUGUCUGGGCUCGUGUGACAGCGGGGCGGGGAUGGUAAGCAGCGCAGUGACCCGGCGCUGGAGACGCACUGUGCACAGCAGACAUCAUGGCUGGGAGGGGAGACGGCCGGGCUACGGAUACGCGUUUGCCGGAGCACUGGAGGGAUGUGCGAGAAUGGAGCGUGGAGAAGAGACAGAGCCACCAAGUAAGAGCCUCUCUCUCUCUCUCUCUCUCUGUCUCGCUGUCGCUCACUGCGUCUCAACUCGUCGUGUUCUUAUUCGACUGAACCCAGAGCGGCCUGUCGAUACUAAGUCAUUCAGACAGUAUGUGGUGUUGUCUCUGCUCGGAGCCUCUGGGAGCCGCCCAGAAGAUCACUCAACGCUUCUUUACUCAUCUCUCGUGUAAUCGCUCCAUUAUUGAACGCGUUUGUAUGUUGUUCUGCAGAAAAAAGGUAAAUGCUUCCUGAGUCGUUUAAAAAAAAAAUCAGCUAUAAAGUGUGAGUAGCAGGAAAUGCAUUGUUAGUGUUUGACGUUUAUGAUGUAGUGUGUGGGUUGAUGGAUGAGGUGACCCGCAUCUCCUCAAAGCUUUGUGAUGGAGAUAAGUUUAGAAGUGAGGUCAAAAACUGUACCAAUUACUGUGUUAAUAAGCUUCUUAAUAAAGCCAUUAACACAGACAAAUUACAUUAAAGUCAUUAUGAAACACCAUUAAACCAUGCUGUGCUCUGAGUUAAUACAACGCAAAGAAGGACAAAUCUGCCUCUGGGCACAAACUGGGAUUUUUUUGUAUAUCUGGAAAGCCAAAAAUACCAAAGUAAAUGUAAUAACUAUGCACCCGAGAGCCUGACAAACAGGCUACACAUGUCUUUCAAAUUAACACAAAGCCCUUAUUGCCAUUACUAGCCAUUACUAGAAAGGUCGCAGGUCACAGCCUCAUUCACAGAUGGUUCAGCAUUCUGCUCUACAAAAGCGCCACCUUAAAUCUUCCCAGAGAUGUAGUCAUUCCGCAUGAAUAAGGCAUAAGGAGCAACCCAAUAGUGGACGAGUGACUAAGAGGAGGCGGCCCUGCAUGCUUCAGUAGUUAUUAUAUUGCUGAAGCAGUAGAACUUGAGAUGAAUUCAUAAUAAAAUAGUUGGCAUGGGGACCACAUGGAUGUUCUGGGCCUCUCUUAAAAACUUUAUAUGCAGCACAUCUUCUUACCGAAUGUUGGAAGAACACCUUUACAGGACCUCAUCUCUAGAUAAUGCCAUACAAUUGUUUUCCCCUCAACAGAAGUUAAAAUGAGUAAAUUAGGGAGGUACAGCUAAAAACUCCUUAUAACCAUUUUUAACUGAAACAAAGCACAAUUCCCUCACCAGGCCACUGAGUACGGAGCAAAAAACACGUGGCGGAUGCACUCAUUAACCGGAACAACCAGAUGGAUCGUUACACUGAACCACCCAGAGGCUAUCCAUGGAAGGGUUUGGAAAAGGGCAACUACUUUCCAAAAAUACAUCUGAAGGAAAUCGGAAGGAGAGCGAAGAACAUCCGUCGGUGUCGUUCUUUUCUUUGCUUUCAAUUAAGAAUGACUCUCUGGUUCAGCAUGUACGCUCUGCCUCCCUGCAGCAUCCUGCAGCAUGUCAUCAGCCUCCCAUGUGCACACACACACACACACACACACACACACACACACACACACACAGGCACAUGCAUCUGCUGAAACCUCUGACUUCACUCCACCAGCGCCAGUCUGUGCACAGGCAGUUCAGAUGUUGUCAUUCGGUUUGCUGGAGGAUUUGGGCAGCCUUAUUCAAAAGGGAUAUUCUCUCUUUUAUUUAUGCUGCGUUCUAUUUUCCUUUUGUCUGAGACAUUUCUGCCUACGGGACACGUAGGCAGAAAUCUCACGUGUUACCGUAGUUGUGAUAAUUCAGGUAGUGUUCCUGGUUUCAGAGAGACACUCUAUUCAUGUAGGAGCAAAGGGUUCCAGAGGUUCAAUAGGAAACCCAAACCAUGUAUUUGAUCAAUAUGUCUUUAAAACAAAGGCUUAAUACCUGCAUUUAUUCAUUUAUUCUGUGGAGGUUGGCAAUGAGAUAGAAUACAAAGCAAAGUAAUGUGUUUUUGUCUUCUAGGAGGUUAAACAUGUUUACAAAAAGAAGUGAUGUAGCUCUUUAAAGCUCCUUAAAAAUCAUUCCAGAAAAUGUCACCAACCACCAACCUCGUUAGAAAACCACAUUCUUCCGACACUGCCCCUCCCACACUAAUCCUGCUAGAAAAGCACAAGACAAAAACAAAAAUACAGAAAUCUCUGAAGAAACUGAAACUGACUGAAAAUGUCUUGAUGUGGAACAAGAAAAUAUGCUCCUUUCAUUUGAAUCCAAAAUGAAAAGAAAAUGUGCCUUCAAGUGUGGGUCUUUUGCAUUUUCCAUUGAUCAAUGAGAAUUUCGCUUUGAGACUAAAGCUAACCAACCUGUGUGGCUUCCUGUAGCUUCCUGAAUAUUCCAUUCACUUAAAUGUGAAACUACUCUCAGAGGGUCUGCUGUGAUCAAAAGGUGCAAUAUCCAAUCCCGCUUCGCAACAUCUCUCCGUAGAUGAUGAAAUUCUCUCUCUCUCUCUCUCUCUCUCUCACAGAUGUGGGUUGCAGAUGUGGAAGCUGUCCUCAGGUCCAUGGAGAGACAGUUGGUGAGUUUUUAAAAGAAGACGGUGUGUAUAUGCCUCGACUAGACCCAUUAGUCCAUGAAGACACUUGUUGUGAUCAUUCUAAAUGACAAUGGUGUUUUUGAAUAUGGCCUCCUGCAGCUCCUUGUGUCAAACUAACAUACCCGUUUCCCAGAAUGCUUCACUGGAGAAAUAUCCUCGUACAAGCGCAGUCUGCCCAGAGCGUUGUCCUCCAUCUCCUUUGAACCGCGGCGGGUGUCUCUGCUGCCGACCAGCUGAUCCGGAGAGGCGCCUUAAGAUGGUCUGAAAUGAUUUGGAGGCAAGAGAAACGCUCAGCGAUCCCGUUUUCUUUGCAAACCUGAACCCUUCAAUCCCUCAUGCAAUGACCUGUCCUCAUAAGCCGUUUUUGCCAUUCAGCUGAGGAAAGUCAUUUCACACUUGAGUGUAUCUUUACUUAUCCGUCCCCUGAGCGCUGAAAAGUAGAUUUCAACUUGAGAUCUUCCCGCGAUGACUUCCAGCUUCAUGUUCUUAAUACUCUGCUAACGACUGACUAAUGAAUAAACAAGUCUCUCUGCGACACAGGCUUCUGUUG
Gasterosteus aculeatus aculeatus (three-spined stickleback) is the source of this 3744-nucleotide long non-coding RNA. Lineage: Eukaryota; Metazoa; Chordata; Actinopteri; Perciformes; Gasterosteidae. The record is from Ensembl.